This 471-nucleotide ribosomal RNA is filed under the name uncultured Pelotomaculum sp. RNAcentral's name for it is "bacterial SSU rRNA". It matches the Rfam family "Bacterial small subunit ribosomal RNA", at positions 916 to 1381 of the family's 1533-position model. The record is from RNAcentral. Lineage: Bacteria; Bacillati; Bacillota; Clostridia; Eubacteriales; Desulfotomaculaceae.
GACGGGGCCCGCACAAGCGGUGGAGCAUGUGGUUUAAUUCGACGCAACGCGAAGAACCUUACCAGGGCUUGACAUCCCCUGACCGCGUAUGAAAGUACGUUUUCACCCUCGGGUGACAGGGAGACAGGUGGUGCAUGGUUGUCGUCAGCUCGUGUCGUGAGAUGUUGGGUUAAGUCCCGCAACGAGCGCAACCCCUACGUUUAGUUGCUAACGCGUGAAGGCGAGCACUCUAGACGAACUGCCGUUGACAAAACGGAGGAAGGUGGGAUGACGUCAAAUCAUCAUGCCCCUUAUGUUCUGGGCUACACACGUGCUACAAUGGCCGGUACAGACGGACGCAAAGCCGCGAGGUGGAGCAAAUCCUAAAAAGCCGGUCUCAGUUCGGAUUGCAGGCUGCAAUUCGCCUGCAUGAAGUCGGAAUCGCUAGUAAUCGCAGGUCAGCAUACUGCGGUGAAUACGUUCCCGGGCCUU